RNAcentral lists this ribosomal RNA (530 nucleotides) under uncultured bacterium. RNAcentral describes it as "bacterial SSU rRNA". It matches the Rfam family "Bacterial small subunit ribosomal RNA", at positions 8 to 526 of the family's 1533-position model. The record is from RNAcentral.
AGAGUUUGAUCCUGGCUCAGAUUGAACGCUGGCGGCAGGCCUAACACAUGCAAGUCGAGCGGUAACAGAAAUUAGCUUGCUAAUUUGCUGACGAGCGGCGGACGGGUGAGUAAUGCCUGGGAAUAUGCCUUAGUGUGGGGGAUAACUAUUGGAAACGAUAGCUAAUACCGCAUAACGUCUUCGGACCAAAGAGGGGGAUCUUCGGACCUCUCGCGCUAAGAUUAGCCCAGGUGAGAUUAGCUAGUUGGUGAGGUAAGAGCUCACCAAGGCGACGAUCUCUAGCUGGUCUGAGAGGAUGAUCAGCCACACUGGAACUGAGACACGGUCCAGACUCCUACGGGAGGCAGCAGUGGGGAAUAUUGCACAAUGGGCGAAAGCCUGAUGCAGCCAUGCCGCGUGUAUGAAGAAGGCCUUCGGGUUGUAAAGUACUUUCAGUAGGGAGGAAGGUGUUGUCGUUAAUAUCGGCGGCACUUGACGUUACCUACAGAAGAAGCACCGGCUAACUCCGUGCCAGCAGCCGCGGUAAUAAU